This 393-nucleotide ribosomal RNA is filed under the name Salmonella enterica subsp. enterica serovar Infantis. RNAcentral's name for it is "bacterial SSU rRNA". It matches the Rfam family "Bacterial small subunit ribosomal RNA", at positions 865 to 1258 of the family's 1533-position model. RNAcentral also lists the same sequence under 3 other names. The record is from RNAcentral. Lineage: Bacteria; Pseudomonadati; Pseudomonadota; Gammaproteobacteria; Enterobacterales; Enterobacteriaceae.
UAGACCGCCUGGGGAGUACGGCCGCAAGGUUAAAACUCAAAUGAAUUGACGGGGGCCCGCACAAGCGGUGGAGCAUGUGGUUUAAUUCGAUGCAACGCGAAGAACCUUACCUGGUCUUGACAUCCACAGAACUUUCCAGAGAUGGACUGGUGCCUUCGGGAACUGUGAGACAGGUGCUGCAUGGCUGUCGUCAGCUCGUGUUGUGAAAUGUUGGGUUAAGUCCCGCAACGAGCGCAACCCUUAUCCUUUGUUGCCAGCGAUUAGGUCGGGAACUCAAAGGAGACUGCCAGUGAUAAACUGGAGGAAGGUGGGGAUGACGUCAAGUCAUCAUGGCCCUUACGACCAGGGCUACACACGUGCUACAAUGGCGCAUACAAAGAGAAGCGACCUCGC